RNAcentral lists this ribosomal RNA (465 nucleotides) under uncultured bacterium. RNAcentral's name for it is "partial 16S ribosomal RNA". It matches the Rfam family "Bacterial small subunit ribosomal RNA", at positions 338 to 795 of the family's 1533-position model. The record is from RNAcentral.
CCUACGGGAGGCAGCAGUAGGGAAUCUUCCACAAUGGACGAAAGUCUGAUGGAGCAACGCCGCGUGAGUGAAGAAGGGUUUCGGCUCGUAAAGCCCUGUUGGUAGUGAAGAAAGAUAGAGGUAGUAACUGGCCUUUAUUUGACGGUAAUUACUUAGAAAGUCACGGCUAACUACUUGCCAGCAGCCGCGGUAAUACGUAGGUGGCAAGCGUUGUCCGGAUUUAUUGGGCGUAAAGCGAGUGCAGGCGGUUCAAUAAGUCUGAUGUGAAAGCCUUCGGCUCAACCGGAGAAUUGCAUCAGAAACUGUUGAACUUGAGUGCAGAAGAGGAGAGUGGAACUCCAUGUGUAGCGGUGGAAUGCGUAGAUAUAGGGAAGAACACCAGUGGCGAAGGCGGCUCUCUGGUCUGCAACUGACGCUGAGGCUCGAAAGCAUGGGUAGCGAACAGGAUUAGAUACCCGAGUAGUC